RNAcentral lists this ribosomal RNA (497 nucleotides) under uncultured bacterium. RNAcentral's name for it is "partial 16S ribosomal RNA". It matches the Rfam family "Bacterial small subunit ribosomal RNA", at positions 28 to 507 of the family's 1533-position model. The record is from RNAcentral.
GAUGAACGCUGGCGGCGUGCCUAAUACAUGCAAGUCGAGCGAACAGACGAGGAGCUUGCUCCUUUGACGUUAGCGGCGGACGGGUGAGUAACACGUGGAUAACCUACCUAUAAGACUGGGAUAACUUCGGGAAACCGGAGCUAAUACCGGAUAACAUGUUGAACCGCAUGGUUCAACAGUGAAAGACGGUCUUGCUGUCACUUAUAGAUGGAUCCGCGCCGCAUUAGCUAGUUGGUAAGGUAACGGCUUACCAAGGCAACGAUGCGUAGCCGACCUGAGAGGGUGAUCGGCCACACUGGAACUGAGACACGGUCCAGACUCCUACGGGAGGCAGCAGUAGGGAAUCUUCCGCAAUGGGCGAAAGCCUGACGGAGCAACGCCGCGUGAGUGAAGAAGGUCUUCGGAUCGUAAAACUCUGUUAUUAGGGAAGAACAAAUGUGUAAGUAACUAUGCACGCCUUGACGGUACCUAAUCAGAAAGCCACGGCUAACUACGUG